UACGUAGGGUGCAAGCGUUGUCCGGAAUUAUUGGGCGUAAAGCGCUCGCAGGUGGUUCGUCGCGUCGUGCGUGAAAGACCCCGGCUCAACUGGGGGAGGUCGUGCGAUACGGGCGAACUGGAGGCCAGUAGGGGGAUGCGGAAUUCCGGGUGUAGUGGUGGAAUGCGUAGAGAUCCGGAGGAACACCAGCGGCGAAGGCGGCAUCCUGGACUGGUCCUGACACUCAUGAGCGAAAGCGUGGGGAGCGAUCCGG
RNAcentral lists this ribosomal RNA (253 nucleotides) under uncultured bacterium. Its description in RNAcentral is "partial 16S ribosomal RNA". It matches the Rfam family "Bacterial small subunit ribosomal RNA", at positions 524 to 776 of the family's 1533-position model. The record is from RNAcentral.